This 649-nucleotide ribosomal RNA is filed under the name uncultured bacterium. RNAcentral describes it as "bacterial SSU rRNA". It matches the Rfam family "Bacterial small subunit ribosomal RNA", at positions 76 to 762 of the family's 1533-position model. The record is from RNAcentral.
CGCUUCGGCGGGUGAGUGGCGCACGGCUGAGUAACACGUGGGAACCCGCCCCCCGGUGGGGGAUAACGCGACGAAAGUUGCGCUAAUCCCGCAUACGUCCGCAAGGAGAAAGCGCACCCGCGCGCCGGGGGAGGGGCCUGCGGCCCAUCAUGUCGUUGGUGGGGUAAUGGCCUACCAAGCCGAUGACGGGUAUCUGGUCUGGGAGGAUGACCAGCCAGACUGGGACUGAAACACGGCCCAGACUCCUACGGGAGGCAUUGCAAGGAAUUUUCGGCAAUAGGCGCAAGCCUGACCGAGCAACGCCGCGUGCGGGAUGACGGCCUUCAGGUUGUAAACCGCUUUUCGGGGGGACGACCCUGACGGUACCCCCGGAAUCAGCCCCGGCUAACUCUGUGCCAGCAGCCGCGGUAAGACAGAGGGGGCGAGCGUUGUCCGGAGUCACUGGGCGUAAAGCGCGCGCAGGCUGCAACCUAAUUGUCAUGUGAAAGCCCCCGGCUCAUCCGGGGGAGGCCAUGGCAAACUGGGUCGCUCGAGCUGCGGAGAGGCCCCUCGAAUUGCCGGUGUAGCGGUGAAAUGCGUGAGAUCGCCUGGAAGACCAAGGGGGAAGCCAGGGGGCUGGCCGCUCGCUGACGCUGACGCUCGACAGCGU